Molecule: ribosomal RNA, 497 nt
Filed under: uncultured bacterium
Lineage: Bacteria
Description: partial 16S ribosomal RNA
Rfam family: Bacterial small subunit ribosomal RNA
Source: RNAcentral
ACUCAAAGGAAUUGACGGGGGCCCGCACAAGCGGUGGAGCAUGUGGUUUAAUUCGAUGCAACGCGAAAAACCUUACCUGGGUUUGACAUCCUCUGACAGCUCCAGAGAUGGAGUCUCCCCUUCGGGGGCAGAGAGACAGGUGCUGCAUGGCUGUCGUCAGCUCGUAUCGUGAGAUGUCGGGUUAAGUCCCUUAACGAGCGCAACCCUUAUCCCUAGUUGCCAUCAUUCAGUUGGGCACUCUAUGGAGACUGCCGGUGUUAAACCGGAGGAAGGCGGGGAUGACGUCAAGUCCUCAUGGCCCUUAUAUCCAGGGCAACACACGUGCUACAAUGGCGGACACAGAGGGUUGCCAACCUGCAAAGGGGAGCUAAUCUCAGAAAGUCCGUCUCAGUUCGGAUUGAAGUCUGCAAUUCGACUUCAUGAAGCUGGAAUCGCUAGUAAUCGCAGAUCAGCACGCUGCGGUGAAUACGUUCCCGGGCCUUGCACACACCGCCCGU